This 69-nucleotide transfer RNA is filed under the name Sciurus aberti (tassel-eared squirrel). Its description in RNAcentral is "Hesperosciurus aberti (tassel-eared squirrel) tRNA-Thr". Lineage: Eukaryota; Metazoa; Chordata; Mammalia; Rodentia; Sciuridae. The record is from RNAcentral.
GCCCUAGUAGUAUAACUUAUUACUUUGGUCUUGUAAACCAAUAAUGAAGCCCUAAUGCUUCCUAGGACA